RNAcentral lists this ribosomal RNA (468 nucleotides) under uncultured bacterium. RNAcentral describes it as "partial 16S ribosomal RNA". It matches the Rfam family "Bacterial small subunit ribosomal RNA", at positions 28 to 507 of the family's 1533-position model. The record is from RNAcentral.
GACGAACGCUGGCGGCGUGCUUAACACAUGCAAGUCGAACGGAAAGGCCCUGCUUUUGUGGGGUGCUCGAGUGGCGAACGGGUGAGUAACACGUGAGUAACCCGCCCCUGACUUUGGGAUAACUUCAGGAAACUGGGGCUAAAACCGGAUAGGAGCUCCUGCUGCACGGGGGGGGUUGGAAAGUUUCGGCGGUGGGGGAUGGACUCGCGGCUUAUCAGCUUGUUGGGGGGGUAGUGGCUUACCAAGUCUUUGACGGGUAGCCGGCCUGGGAGGGUGACCGGCCACAUUGGGACUGAGGUACGCCCCAGACUCCUACGUGAGGCAGCAGUCGGGAGUAUUGCGCAAUGGGCGGACGCCUGAUGCGGCAACGCCGCGUUCGUGAUGACGUCCUUCGGGUUGUAAACCGCUUUCGCCUGUGCCGAAGCGUGAGUGACGGUAAUGGGUAAAGAAGCACCGGCUAACUACGUG